Transfer RNA from Ovis aries (sheep), 73 nucleotides. It matches the Rfam family "tRNA". From Rfam's summary of the family: Transfer RNA (tRNA) molecules are approximately 80 nucleotides in length. Their secondary structure includes four short double-helical elements and three loops (D, anti-codon, and T loops). The record is from Rfam. Lineage: Eukaryota; Metazoa; Chordata; Mammalia; Artiodactyla; Bovidae.
UCCCUGGUAGCUCAGAGAGUAAGAGCAUUUGCCUACAACUCAGGAGACCCAGGUUUGAUCCCUGGGUUGGGAA